GUACCUACUAGCCUACGACGGGUACGGGUUGUGAGAGCAAGAGCCCGGAGAUGGAUUCUGAGACACGAAUCCAGGCCCUACGGGGUGCAGCAGGCGCGAAAACUUUACAAUGCUGGAAACAGCGAUAAGGGGACCUCGAGUGCCAGGAUACAAUCCUGGCUGUCGUAAUGCCUAAAAAGCAUUGCAUACAAGGGCCGGGCAAGACCGGUGCCAGCCGCCGCGGUAACACCGGCGGCUCGAGUGGUAACCGCUAUUAUUGGGUCUAAAGGGUCUGUAGCCGGCUGACUAAGUCUCUUGGGAAAUCUGACAGCUUAACUGUCAGGCUUUCAGGAGAUACUGAUCGGCUCGAGACCGGGAGAGGUGAGAGGUACCUCAGGGGUAGGGGUGAAAUCUUGUAAUCCUUGAGGGACCACCAGUGGCGAAGGCGUCUCACCAGAACGGAUCUGACGGCAAGGGACGAAAGCUAGGGGCACGAACCGGAUUAGAUACCCGGGUAGUCCUAGCCGUAAACGAUACUCGCUAGGUGUCGGCCACGGUGCGACCGUGGUC
Molecule: ribosomal RNA, 549 nt
Filed under: uncultured archaeon
Lineage: Archaea
Description: bacterial SSU rRNA
Rfam family: Archaeal small subunit ribosomal RNA
Source: RNAcentral